UACGUAGGGGACAAGCGUUGUCCGGAAUUAUUGGGCGUAAAGAGCGUGUAGGCGGCUAUUUAAGUCCUGCGUGAAAUCCUGCGGCUCAACCGCAGACGGUCGUGGGAAACUGGAUGGCUAGAGUGCGGGAGAGGAGAGUGGAAUUCCCGGUGUAGCGGUGAAAUGCGCAGAUAUCGGGAAGAACACCCGUGGCGAAGGCGGCUCUCUGGAACGCAACUGACGCUGAGACGCGAAAGCGUGGGGAGCAAACAGG
This 253-nucleotide ribosomal RNA is filed under the name uncultured bacterium. Its description in RNAcentral is "partial 16S ribosomal RNA". It matches the Rfam family "Bacterial small subunit ribosomal RNA", at positions 524 to 776 of the family's 1533-position model. The record is from RNAcentral.